This 495-nucleotide ribosomal RNA is filed under the name uncultured bacterium. RNAcentral's name for it is "partial 16S ribosomal RNA". It matches the Rfam family "Bacterial small subunit ribosomal RNA", at positions 28 to 507 of the family's 1533-position model. The record is from RNAcentral.
GACGAACGCUGGCGGCGUGCCUAAUACAUGCAAGUAGAACGCUGAAGGAGGAGCUUGCUUCUCUGGAUGAGUUGCGAACGGGUGAGUAACGCGUAGGUAACCUGCCUGGUAGCGGGGGAUAACUAUUGGAAACGAUAGCUAAUACCGCAUAAUAGUAGAUGUUGCAUGACAUUUGCUUAAAAGGUGCAAUUGCAUCACUACCAGAUGGACCUGCGUUGUAUUAGCUAGUUGGUGGGGUAACGGCUCACCAAGGCGACGAUACAUAGCCGACCUGAGAGGGUGAUAGGCCACACUGGGACUGGGACACGGCCCAGACUCCUACGGGAGGCAGCAGUAGGGAAUCUUCGGCAAUGGACGGAAGUCUGACCGAGCAACGCCGCGUGAGUGAAGAAGGUUUUCGGAUCGUAAAGCUCUGUUGUAAGAGAAGAACGAGUGUGAGAGUGGAAAGUUCACACUGUGACGGUAUCUUACCAGAAAGGGACGGCUAACUACGUG